RNAcentral lists this long non-coding RNA (7842 nucleotides) under Gossypium barbadense (sea-island cotton). Its description in RNAcentral is "long non-coding RNA (GBAR_LNC021848)". The record is from RNAcentral. Lineage: Eukaryota; Viridiplantae; Streptophyta; Magnoliopsida; Malvales; Malvaceae.
GCCAUCAGCAGCUGCUGGCGCUACUUUACGGCGCGACCUCGUUGACUGCAUUUCUUUUAACGGUAAUGGUGAAGGCGCCGUGAUUUAAGAAUGAGAGGGAAAGAUGGGGAGCGGUGAAUCGGAAGCUUUUGGACAGAGUGACGAGGGUAAGCUUUCUUUUUCUUUUUCUUUUUCUUUUUCUUUUGUUAAUUUCGGUUUGACGAAAACGGCACUGAGAUGAUGGAAAAUAGUAAGGGCUUAUUAGUAAUUUUGAGACUGCAAUUGCCAAUUGGAGACUUCCUCGUUUUUUGAAAGUCGCAAUUGGAGACGUAGUAAAGACUACGUUUUUAUGCAAGUAGAAUUUACCCGACGAAGCUGUGCUUGGUUCGAGGAAUAUAAUGUUUUUGGGGUAAAUUCUUCGUAUAAUUACUCUAAAAUUACUUUAUUAUUAUUUUUAUCACUUUAAUUUUUUUAUUAUGAAAUAUAGCACAUUUUUGUUUUGAUCUUUAAGAUGCCACAUAUUAAAAAGUUACCUACAGACAGUUUACGUCCAAUCAUUUUAGAUAACGCUUGCAUCUUUUAUAUUAUUGUAGUUACUGGCACAAAGUUAGCCAAUGUUUAUUCCUCAGAUACCAUCAUUACUUCUUUUCUGGGAAAAGAAGUUCACGACCCGUGGGCCUUCUACCUCCACGCUACAUCGCUCCGUUAGGUUUUUGCCCAUUGCGAAAAAUUCCCCACUGAUGACUCCCGUAAGAGUCUAGGUCGUGUCUCAGUCUCAGUAAGGCUGAUCAUCCUCUCGAACCAACUACUGAUCAUCGCCUUAGUAAGCUAUUGCCUCACCAACUAGCUAUCAGAUGCGAGCCCCUCCUCAAAUGGAUCCCUCCUUUUGCUCCUCAGCCUACGAGGUAUUAGCAGUUGUUUCCGACUAUUGUUCCGCUCCCAAAGGCAGGUUCUUACGCGUUACUCACCCGUCUAACUUGCAUAUGUUAAGCAUGUCACCAACGUUCAUCCUGAGCCAGGAUCGAACUCUCCAUGAGAUUCAUAGUUGCAUUACUUAUAGCUUCCUUGUUCGUUGACAAAGCCAAUUCGAAAUUGUCUUGUAUCCAUGCGCUUCAUAUUCGCCUAGAGUUCACUCUCAGAAAUAUAGUCAUUCCUACCCCCUCACUCAAUCCCACGAGCCUCUUAUUCAUUCUUAUUCGAUCACGGCGGGGACAAGGCAAAAUAGAAAAACUCACAUUAGGUUUAGGGAUAAUCAGGCUCGAACUGAUGACUUCCACCACGUUAAGGUAACACUCUACUGUUGAGUUAUAUCAUUUCCUUGCCCCUUUCAAGAAAUAGAACUGAUUAAUCCUAAGUCAAAGGAUCGAGAAACUCAACAACACCACUAUUCUUAAACAACUUGGAGCCAGGCUUUCCUUUCACACUAUUAUUCUACAAUUGUUAUAUAUUAUUACAUGUCAUUAAAGUGAUUUACAAAAAAGUUUAAUAUUAACUAAAAAAAUUUAUUGUUUAUAAAAUGACCAAUAGUGGUCUCUAAAUGGGGUUUAGAGUUUGAUUUUGGAUUUAGGAAUGGUAAUGGAGUUUAAGGUUUAAUGAUUUUGGGUUUAAGGACCACUAUUGAUCCUUUUAUAAAUAGUAAAAAAUUUUAGUUAAUGUUAAAUGAUAUUUUUGGUAAACUACUUUAAUGAUCUGUAAAAAGAUAUACACAAUUGACAGAACAAUCAGCAAUACGUGGCAUCCUAGUUAGCUUUUUGUUUAGGUUUUAACGGGACAAUGAUCAAAACAAGAAUACUUACAAACAGCAGUGUUAUAUUUGACAAAAAAAAAUUAAAGUGACUAAAACAUGAAUGAAGUAAUUUUAGAGUGACUAUUUGAGUAGUUUACCCAUAUUUUUAAGGUGUAAUAUGAGAUUUCUCUAAUAAAUUUUUACCUUUACAUUCCAAAAAUUAUCUUCAAUAGGUGAUCUCAUAUUUUCAAUAAAUAUUAAGAUUUCAGAAUAUAUUAUGUGAAUAUCAUAUUAUUUUAGAUAAUUUUUUAGUUGUGGUUGAUAUUGGCAAUGUUACAAGGCUCUCUCCAACUGUUAUAUUCUAGUUUUGAUCUCAUUUUGAAAGGUUAAAGAAUUUGAUAAUAUGCUUAGAGUAAAGAAGCAAGCAAGUCUCUUAGAUUUUUUUUCUAUUUUUUGUUAGUGAAUCUAGAGUAUUGAAAGUAACAUGAAUUCUUUGAAACCUUUCUUUCCGAUCUUAUAGUUUUAUAAAACAUCAUCUUCCUAAUUUUUAUACCAAAAUUUUCUAUAGAAUUAAACUAUUAGGGUUUAAUUUUGACUCUUAGGUUAUUUUUCACAAAAAUUGAAUCCACCAAUGAUGGAUAUUCGAGCCCCUAAUUAAUGACGACCAUUUACUCAUCAUCUUCAUAAAAAAGUUUCCAAAUUUUCCAAAGAAUUAAAAUGUUAAGGUUUGGUUUUUACUCUUGCAUUGUUUUUUUCAUAGAAAUUGAAUCCAUGAAUAAUGGGUAUUCGAGCCCCUAAUUGAUGAUGACGAUGUAUUCGAGUAGAGGGCUUUCGACCCCUUGGAAAUUUUAAAAUGUUUAGGGUUUUUUUUUUCAAUUUUUAAUCUUCUCUUUCAAUUGAUUUGUUCAAAUACAUAUAACAUAGUUUGGUUGCUAGAAUUAAUGAAUAAAAUAAAGUUUGGUUGUGGUUUGCUAUUGUUGGUUGAUAUAAUUUCUUAAUGUGCCAAUUCCAUACAUAUAUAUAUAUAAUCAAUUCAACAAGCAUGUCUCACUAUGGAAAUUUCAAGCGAGUUGUUACUUAUAACACCAUGAUUUCUCCUCUUAAUGGUUCUUGUGGUUGUUACUUAUAAAGUGCAGAAGAAUUAUGUUCCUAAUAAAGUUGAGUCAUUACCAAUUUUUUGUGUUGGAGUUGCAUUUUUUGAUGAAAUUUUAACCAAAUCAUUUCUUUCUUAACAUAUUGAGAAGGAAAUCGAGGAUAUAAGAUUGAUUGUGUUGAAUCUAACCCCAUCAUCAAAAGAGCUUUUUGUCAUUCCAGUUGAGAGUAAUUCUCUUCAGAUGGUAUUGAUGUUAAGGAGAGAUUGAAUAAGUGAUUAGAUGUUGUUACUAGUAAAGAAAAUAUUCUUAUUCAUUUUCAGAUAUUUUCAUAGAAAAAUAUUACUUUUGAAAAUGAGUACACUAGAGUUGUGUUAGGAUCUUGUACCUCAAGGAUCCCUUGCCAUGUCAUUUCUGCCACAAAAAGGAUUAGGGCUAUUUUUUUCAGCUAACAUACAGUAUGUUGAUUCGAGAUGAGAGAUUCCUAUUAUGCUCCCACUUCAUGAUUGUCCUGCACAUGAGCUCAACGCUCUUUGUAGCCUUGAUGGUCUAAAAAUAGUAGAGUUUCUUAAUGGUCUAUGCUCUAGUAUUGGUCAUGUUAGAUUUGCUUAUGGUUUAUGUUUGAUACUAGGAAAUAGUUACAUGAUGGUUAAUUGAAUAACAUAUGCAUGAUAGUAAUAUUUUAAGUGAUAUGAUAAUGGUAUAUGAUUAACAAUUGUGGUGUCAAUGAGGACACAUUGGUUUGGCACAAAGUUGUAUGAAUUUGAUAUGUUUUUUAUGUGUUAAAUGUGAUUUUGAAUAAGUCAUUUUGGUUAGAAAUAGGAUGGCUUGGUGUCCAAGUUAAAAUGGUUGUUUUGGCUUGAUAAUAAAGUAAUUUAGCUGCACACGGCCGUGUGCCACACACGAUCACACCAUACGGUCGUGUGUGUUAAUUUGAUUUUAGGAACAUGUUGCACACGCUUUGGCACACAGCCUGUAACACGACCGUGUAGCCCUAUUUCAACUACCCAUAUGACGGACACACGGGUUAGAACACAGUCGUGUGUCAUAACUUCGAAUGUUCAUACGGUUUGAGCUAUGUCACACGGCCAUAUGACCCCUAUUUUCUAAAAUUUUUAAGAUUUUUCUAAAAUUUUAUGAAUUUUUUCGUUUUAAUCUUAGAUUGUUCCCAAACUAUUUUUAGGGCCCCAUAGGCUCGAUUAAAGACCCAUACGUGUACUUUUGCCAUGGUUAGAUUUAAUUGUUAUGUAUAUUGGCAUUUAAUUGUAUAAUCGAUUUUGUGGUGAAGUUAAAUAUUAUAUUUUGAUUGGUAAUGCUCUGUAACUCUAAUCUGACAAUAGAGACAGGAUAGGGGUGUUACAGUAGAUGACUCUCACUGAGCCGCACGACGAUGUGCACCACGAGUUCGUACUCUAUGGUUAUCCAUGACACUUAUCGAUAAAUAUUUAUGAGUUUUAUCUGACAAUUUUUAGAAACAAGUUUUAUGUUAUCACUUCAGUAUUUUCAAUCAGAGUUUCACUAUCUAGAAGUAUAUCAUCUAAUAGUCUAAGGUUUUAUAAUCUAAAGUUUCAAGUAUAGAGAGUACUUAUCUUAGAUCGGCUUCGAGAGUCUCGUAUUUUUAAAAAUUUAAUUUUUAAUUUUAAUAGAAAAAUAUUUUUCUAAAUUACUCUUUAAAAUAUGCAUUCAGACCCGUUUAAAAUCCAUAGUUUGAGUUUUGAACUUGACUAUGAUACCACUAAAUGUGGUAGCCAACACUCAGCCCGGUAAGAUAUUGUCUGCUUUAGGCACACAUGGCCCUCACAGCUUUGUUUUUGGAAGGGCCCAUACACCCCAAAAGGCAUAUUACCACUUAAGUGGUUCUACCCUUUUAUAUAGCCCAGGUCUCUCCCAUGUUUUCCCGAUGUGGGAUUUGCCUAGGGUAUUACAAAUAUGCAUGUUCAUAGGUAUUAAGUCGAUUAAUUAACCAAGUUAAGGUAUAAUACAUUGACUGUUAUGUUAUUGAAUGUCUUAGAUAUGUUUUAGACAUUAAAUUGAUGUAUUAUGAAUUGGUAUAAUGUUAGCCUAGGUAAGGCUUAUAUCGAAAAUCAUUUGAAUGUGUUAAAAUUUGUAUAAUAGGUGAAAUUGUCAUUUGGUUUCGAGACAAUGAGGUUAUUUUCUUAAAACGUAAAGAAUAAAAUAUUUGUUUCCAACAUUUCUGGGUAAUUGUCUCGAGACAUGAUGAACAAGCUCAAGACACAAAUGGCUAAGUCUCAAGACUUAGACCCCAAUGUUUCGAUAUAAAAAACAUUGAAUGUAAAGUCCAAAAUAGGGGAGGUGAGUCUCAAGGCCUGUCUCAAGACACAAUGCACAAAGUCUCGAGACAUGAACCCACAAAGUCUCGAGACAAGAACCCCUAAUGUCUCAAGACAAGAAAACAUCGAAGCUAGGGGUCUAAAAUAAGGUAAGCUUGUUUCAAGACAUGACCCUCAAUGUCUCGAGACAUUUAGUUGAAUUUUUAUAUUUGAGUUUGGAUUUGAGUCCUCGCUCAUUAUUUUACCCCGUAUAAACUCAAGACCUGUUAAGUGUGGUCAUUAAACAUUGAUAAAGCAUGAUCAUAAUUGUAAUUGAAAAUGUUUUGAAUUUUUCCAUGUUUAUAUUAUAACAGCCCGUUUUUUAGUGGUGUUAGAAAUAGUGGUUUAGGGGCCACAAAUCUGAUGAGAGAGCCCGUAAAUAUUAUUAUUUAAUGUUUACAAGUCAAAUAUAGUAUUAUAGUCAAUUUUGAAUUGAUAAUUUUAGUUAAUUGAAUGAUUAAUUAAGUUCAAGUGGGUUAUCUCUAAAGUAAAGUGGUUUUAGAAAAUGAGGUAUCGAGACCUCGUUUCUAUAAAUCGAGCCCAUAAAUAUUUUUAUUAAAUAUUUAUAGAGUGAUUAUAUAGGUGUAUUAAAAUUUGGUUAGGUAAUUUUGAUGUUUAGUUAGUUAAUUAAAGAAAAAUGAUUAAAUUGUAAAAGGUAAAAAAGUUACUUAUUUUUUAUUUAUUUUAACAUAAUGGUAUAAAUAAUUAAAGUGGGGGAUUAAUGUUGAAAUUAGACCCUAACACUUGAAUAUGGACGAUUUUGGGUUUGCAAAUGUUAAUUUUACAUGGUUUAAUUAAGGGCAAAGUGGUAAAUGUUCAAUUAAAUUGUAAUCAAAUAAAAAAACAAAGGCUAUCAUCUCUUUCCUUUUUUUUUUUGCCGAAAAUGGGAAGAAAGAAACUGGGAGUUAAUUUAGUUAAGGGCAAAGUGGUAAAUAUUUAAUUAAAUUAUAAUCAAAUAAAAUAAACAAAUGCUAUCAUCUCUUUCCUUUGUUUUUGCCGAAAAUGGGAAGAAAGAAACUGGGAGUAGCUUAAGUGCUUGGUCAUUUGGUGUAUUGCAUGUAAGCCCGUUUCUUAUCUGAUUUUAAUGAAUUUUAUAUUUUCGUGAUCAUGGUAUUGAUAUCCAACUAGUUUAGAGACUAAUUUGUGAAAUUGAUAAACAUCUAAAAAUUUAUCAUUGAUGAUUUUGAGUGCUUUUGAUAUUAUGUGAUUUUAUUGAAAGCUUGAUUAUUAGAUGAGAUUAAAUUUGUAAAGUGAUUUUUAGUAAUUUUUGUGUUUAGUGAUUAAAUCGAAAAUAAACUAAAAUAGACAUGGUUUUUCUAGAUAAAUAAAAAAUUUUAGGGCUUUUUUAGAAUGGUUAAAUAUUAGGUUCAAUGGGUUUAAAGUUUAAUUAUGAGAAAUAAGCUUGUUUUGGUCUUAAGGACCAAACUAAUUAAAAUGUAAAAGUUUGGGGCAAAUGUGUAAAAAUUGUAAAUAGGAAGUUAUAUGUAUAAAAUUGAAUGAUAUAUGAAAUUGAGGUUAAUAAUUGAAAUAAAUUAUAUUAUAUAUCAAGAUCAAGUAGAAAACUGAGGAAAAUGGAAAGUUGUUGAAUAGUCCCUGAACUAUUGCAAACUCUAUAGUUUAGGCCUGGUAAGUUCAUUCAGUUUAAUUUAAUAUAUUUUAAAUUUCAUAUUGAGUGAAAAAAUUGAUUAUCAAAUGUUCAAUUUACUAUAUAUUAGAUAUUAUAUUAAUGAGAAUUGAAGUAGUGAAUCGUUUAUAAUACUGAUUAGUGAUGAUAACUCUUGAGCCGAAUGAAUGUAGGAUAGAGUACGAUUGGCAUGCCAAUAGGUUAUAGUGUGCGUAGUACGGGAAUUGAUUUGAGAUGAGACGAUAAUUCCUGUCCUGUGAUUUUACACUUAAUAUAUCGAAGCCCAACAUUUGUUGCGGACUAUCGCAAUAUAUUACAGUGAUUCUAGCGUGUUACCAGGGGUCAAUGUAAAGCCUUUGGGAUUGGCACUUAGUGCCCAGGUGUGUUUUCAGAGGGAUGUUAGCCUACGGGUUAGGCAUUUGAUGUCGAGGCGUGUUAUCGAUUGGAUUGGCUCAUUUGAGCGUUUGGCGUGUUUCGAAUGGAUAACUGUGUACUCAUAUCCAUAUAUUGUUCAUCGGCAAUGUUUCUUGUGUUAAAUGUCUUGAUAUCAAAUUGUUGAAAGAUUAUUCAUGAAUCUUCUAAUAGCAUUGUGGCUUGAUAAUGAAUGAUCUCGUACUUGUUUAAGUAUAAAUUCAUCUGUUGUGGAUUGUGGUUGACAUGAAACUCUAACUUUUAAUCUUGUUAUUAAAAUUGUUAUGUUUAAUUCAGCAAGCUUUAUUGUGUUAACCAUUGAACUUACUAAGCUCUAGUGAAGUUUACUCGUAUUCUUUUCUGUUCCUUGUAGAUAACGUUUUGUGGAGUCGAGCAAUCGGAUCAACUUAAAGAUCAUACUAUCCAGAUUCAUUUUGGUAGAUUUUGAUAUGCUUAUUUUGGGUUAUAUGGCAUGUAAUAGGUGUUUUUGUAUAUGUUUAGAUAAUUAUUACAAAUGUUAUAUUUUAAGCUUGGUAUAAGCUUACUUGUGUAUGUGCCUUCAAUCUUGGUGUGAAUAUGUUCAUAUAAAGUUGUUUUGGUCAUAUGAUAUAAACCUUAUGUAAGUGUUUGAAUCAUGAUAUGAAUGAAUAUGAAUGAUUAAGAAGAAAUGAUAAGUUUGGU